GGGAUAACUAUCACUCCUCCAUAAUUGAAUUCGGUUUUCAUUUGUUUAUUUAUUUAUUUUUUUUCCCACCUGUGGCAUUGAGUUAUUGAUAAUUGUCAAGUACUUUUCGGAUUUGUAUAAUAAUAUAAUUAUUAAUUAUUAUAUGUUGGGGAAGAAGUUGUCGGUAAGGUCAUUGUCUUAGUAACUUAAAUGAGUUUUUAAGCAAAAUAAGGACAAAUAUUUGUUGCCAGUGGUACUGAUAAUUUAUUACAACUUUCAUAUACAUGUAUCUUUCAUUGUUAUAAUAAUCGCAAGAUAUUUCACACUGCUUGUUAAUACUAUCCAAAGAGUUGUUGACUCAAAUGACUCUAAAACAGAGGUCUAAAGAUGGAUACACUACUUGAUAUAUUUAUUAAAUUUUUUUAUUUAUUAAAUUUUUAGUUUCUAUUCUAAGAUCCUAAUUGAUAAGAGUAAUAAAUCUUCAUAUUAUUGUAAAACAGUGAACUAGCAGAGUAUAAAUGAUAAAAGCAAGAUCAAUUCUUCACUACUGAUUAAUAAACAGAUAUGUAGAUUAAUUUUUUAAGUUGAAUAUUCGAAAUUUCAACUAAAUUUUUUCUUAUUUAGUUAAUUUUUUCCUGUUAAGCCAAGUGGGGGAUUAUGGUCAGUUAGUUCUUAAUUUAAACUUAGAAUCCCCCCCCCCCCCCCCUCCCCUUUCUUUAGCUUUCCUUUUUCAAGCUAACUAAAGAUGCGAAGUUUAUUUUGCCUUCUUCUGUUUUGUGGUGGUCCAGAUUUGGUUUAGGUAUAUUGAUUGAGAGUUAUAUAAUUGUAUAAUUUUUGUUUGAAGGUAUAUAAAUUAAGGACGCGUGCGAUGUAUUAACAAUAAUUUUUUGAAGUUACAUUCGUUGUUGGUCGUUGAUUGUUAAAUGAUAAAUCUUUCCCAUCAAACACUUUGCUCAGCGUCCAUGCAAUUAUACACGAACGAUGACACUUUUAUUUUAUUUUUUCUUUUUUAUUAUUAUUAUUUUUGGACCAAUUAAGUUCAUUACCCUAGUAUUUUUAGCAAGACUUCGGUUCAUACUUUGACUGGCAAAGAAUUUUCAACUCAAAUUUUAAGCCUAAAACAGAAGACCAUUAACCCAAAAGAAAGAAACAAAAUAUGUUUCAGGAAUUUGGUUAGAUAUCACAAUCAAGUUAUUAUAAAUAUAAUUUACUGGAGGGGCAACAUUAUCAGAGUCUUGAGUCAUGGAGAAAAGCUGUGUCUGAUAUUUGAUAAUUUGAAAAGCAGGUAUUAAUUCUUUCCGUCCGAGGGUAACUAAUACGGCACAGAAAUUUUAUUUUAUUUUCUUUAAAUAUUAUUAUUUAACAUUCAAACUCUUCAUCCCUGAUGACUUAAUUUUGGGCUGGUCGGUUUCUAGAUACAAACUAUAUAUGGCAUGUGUUAAUCACGGAAUAGUCUUCAUGCAAAUGGGAGACGUUCACACGGGAGCGGAGCCCACAUUAAAAUUUUAGGGACACAAUUCUAUAUCACAAAAUUUUAAAGAGUUAAAAAAAUGGACUUAAUUAUUGGGUUAAACUGUUGAAAUAUUAAACUUGCAUGAUUGCAUCGGUUAAAUUAUAAAAAAAUCUCUCUUUUAAAAGUUAAAUUUCUAAAUUUAUCAUAUAUGUAAACUAAGUUUUUUUUUUUUUCUAAGACCAGCAGCAGGUGCCAUGGCACCUAGUAGUUUUGCGGCAGCUCCGCUCCUGCUCACACACUUAGGUUACUUCUAAGUUACAGCUACUUUUUGUUGCAGACCAUUUGUAUUUUUAUUUUUUAACAUAUUAAAUUACAAUCUAAUAAUAUUCUAGUUUAUACUUUGAUAGUCUGAUCAUAUGUUUCUUUUGAUGAGUAAGAGACUUACUAUGACCUCUUGACAAGUUUUACAAUUUUCCCUCCUCCUAUUGAGAUUUCGGAGCAAAAAAAAAAAAAAAAUCCACCAAUAUUUUUGGAAAAAUAAAUGUAUUAUGGAUUAGAUGGCUAAUGUCAGUCUUAUUUGCGCUUCUUUAACUUAAGUAACACCCUUUUGCAGCCUUCCCAACAAGGGUGCUGAUACUUACCCUAAGUCAAACCCCGGACAUUAGCGAAUGACACAUUUUUUUAUAAAAAUUACAACACAAUUUUAGUUUGGAUCUUUAUAGAAAUUAAAAAAACAAAAACUCAUUUUCCUUAACACAAUUCAAAAGCAACAAAACUCAAUAUACUGCUGCGAGUAACCAACCGUGGCCAAGCCACGAAUCCCACUGUACCACUGCGAGCAGUCAUAUUCAAGCCACGACGUUUAAAAUGUCUGUGCCUAGCUGUUCUAGCCACUGCUACUCGUGUAAGUUGAACUUGGGAUUUUAAAUAUUUUCUGGAAUUUUAUGAUUGAAUUUAUUAUAGACUAAUUCAGAGUGUUAUUAGCAUAAGAAAUCUCAUGGGAGUUCAAGAGAAGUUUCUUGUGCUCAUAAAAUAAUUGGGAUAAUUAAUUAAUAAAACCAAGAAAUUGCAUACUUUUAUGUUGUUAUUUUGCAGUAGUUAUUUUAAAUAUGAUUUGAAAAAAAAUUGAUGUAGUAAUGGAGAAUUUGGAACAAGUGGAUCAAGUCAAAGAAUUGGAGGAAUUGGAGGCAUUAGACGAGUCUGAUUUAUAAGAAAAUAUUGAGUAAUUCGAGGAGACCGAAUUUGAUAACAAUGAAGAUGUGAAAGAAAAAGUUGCUAAGCCUCAGGUUGGGGUGUGAAAGAAAAAGUAGCAGUGGCAAUGGUUGAUUUUGGGGUGCCGCUUUGUAAGUGGCCGUGGUUGUCGCGUGGUGGCUGUAGGCAGUGGCAGUGACAAUGGCUGUGGUGUGGUGGUUUGGGUGAUUUUGGGAGAGUGCUUGUGCUAUGUGACUCUGGGGAGUAUACUUUCUGCUUUGUGGUUGUCAUUCACAACCAUAAAGAAUAAGAAAGUUUUUUAUUUUAUUUUAUUUUGAUAUUGCUAAAGUUAGACGGUGCAUUUUCAUCCCAACAAUAACUUUUGUAAAAUUCUUCGUUUUGCGUUGUUUUACCUCUUAGUUUUUUCUGUUUGUAUUGUUUGCAUUUUUAUAUGCUACUUUUAUCUCUCUCUCUCUCUCUCUCUACAAGGUAAUUAGGAUCAUUACAUACUCCUCUUAUUUAAAUGUUUUUUUUCCACUUUACUUUAAUAAACUUCCCUUGUAGAGUUAAGAUUUCACUAAAAAAUUACUAAUAUUUAUAGUCUGAAAUUUGUUGUGGUUUUGUCUUGAUAAUUGUUUUUUUAACGCAAUAAGAUUUUGUCUCUAAUACUUCGAAGGAAGUUUUAAUAACAUAUACACAAAAGAGAAUGUAUUACCUUACUAAUGGCGGGUGAUUGCCAAGUCAAUAAAACCAUUAUUUGUAAGUGCUAUUUCACACUUAUUAUAUAAACAUUAACUUAUUAACUAAAAAAGUUAUGAGUAGAUUUCUUUGUUUCUCCCUCCACUCGAUACAACGGUAGCAAUGUUUAAGCACUGGGAACUUGCCAAACUUUAUUAAAGAGAAAUCUCGCAUUGAAUUAUUUGCAUAAUCAACGUAGAUUCAAAUAAUUGGGCUCCCUAAUGGGCCAAUUGGGUUCCUCAAUGAGCCUCAAAUGGUCGAAGAUAUUUGUUAGGUCCAACUCUGUAGAAGUUCGGGCAAAUCAUAUGCCAUCCAAUAUUCCAAAUCCUUUGAAAAAAGCAAAGGGUUAGACUACUGACACCCUUCCAAUUUGGGGUAUACAAGAUAUAUACAAUUGAAUUCAACUCAAUCAAAUCAAUUAAUCCAACUUAAAUUAAUCUAAUUUUAUCGGACUGACUUUUUAAUUAGAUUAGAUUAUAUUAGAUUAGAUUAGAUUACAAAAUAGAAUAUCUAAUGUUAUUAUAUUGGUAAAUGGAUCUAUGUGUUAAAAUCUAAUAUAAACUAUUCUAACCAACUGAUUCUCAUUUUCUUUCUCUAUUUUUUAAAAAGGUUACGUGGC
RNAcentral lists this long non-coding RNA (3980 nucleotides) under Citrus x clementina. Its description in RNAcentral is "Citrus clementina (C. clementina) long non-coding RNA (CCLE_LNC001945)". The record is from RNAcentral. Lineage: Eukaryota; Viridiplantae; Streptophyta; Magnoliopsida; Sapindales; Rutaceae.